AGCUUUUAGCCUGGGAUUGGCCCUGAUCUGGGAGGGCAACCUUAGCAACAAACUCAGAGAAAGUUGUAGAGAGAGACUAAGCUCCCAGAAGAGAGGACUGGAGAAUGAAGCUCCCCAACAAGCGUUUGCAAAAGGCAAAGCCCCGGAUCAGAGUAGAAUGUAAGCAUCCUGGCUGGAGGGCUGACUCACAAGAAGGAACACACCUCUAUGACCACAGAGUAGUUGCUGGCAGGGGGUGACAGACAGAAGAGCACAUCAGCCAGUGACUGAACCUUGUACACACUCUCUGAUAACAAGUCGGCCAACAGAAAUCAAAGUCAAUUUAACCGAGGGACUUUUAGAGGAGCAUCCAGUCUAUCCCACAGCAUCAUGAAAUGACUGAUUUAAUUAUUCCUACGCCAUCCUGAAUAGAGGGGAUAGCCUAGCCUUCAAAUGAUAUUGUACAUCAACAUGAAUAAUAAGGAAGCAAUAUGGGAAAACUUAUCUUCAUGGCCAUUCACUGGGGCUGAUUCUCCUCCAACUUAAACUGGGAAUAAAUCAAGGGUAAUUCCAUGAAGGUCAAUGGAAUUACAGUGAUGUGAGAAGAGUCAGGCCCACUAUCUCCCCUCUAGCUGCUUUUUUCUCCCUUUUAAUGAGUGUGUUGCCUAUUUGCA
Molecule: long non-coding RNA, 653 nt
Organism: Mauremys reevesii (Reeves's turtle)
Lineage: Eukaryota; Metazoa; Chordata; Testudines; Geoemydidae
Exons: 4
Source: RefSeq, a predicted model, not a curated record